This 416-nucleotide ribosomal RNA is filed under the name uncultured bacterium. RNAcentral describes it as "bacterial SSU rRNA". It matches the Rfam family "Bacterial small subunit ribosomal RNA", at positions 358 to 774 of the family's 1533-position model. The record is from RNAcentral.
GGAAUAUUGCACAAUGGGGGAAACCCUGAUGCAGCGACGCCGCGUGAGUGAAGAAGUAUUUCGGUACGUAAAGCUCUAUCAGCAGGGAAGAAAGAAAGUCCUUUGGACUUUGGACGGUACCUGACCAAGAAGCCCCGGCUAACUACGUGCCAGCCGCCGCGGUAAUACGUAGGGGGCAAGCGUUAUCCGGAUUUACUGGGUGUAAAGGGGGCGCAGGCGGCGAUGCAAGCCAGGAGUGAAAGCCCGGGGCCCAACCCCGGGACUGCUCUUGGAACUGCGUGGCUGGAGUGCAGGAGGGGCAGGCGGAAUUCCUGGUGUAGCGGUGAAAUGCGUAGAUAUCAGGAGGAACACCGGUGGCGAAGGCGGCCUGCUGGACUGCAACUGACGUUGAGGCCCGAAAGCGUGGGGAGCAAACA